GACGAACGCUGGCGGCGUGCUUAACACAUGCAAGUCGAACGGAAAGGCCCUGCUUUUGUGGGGUGCUCGAGUGGCGAACGGGUGAGUAACACGUGAGUAACCUGCCCUUGACUUUGGGAUAACUUCAGGAAACUGGGGCUAAUACCGGAUAGGAGCUCCUGCUGCAUGGUGGGGGUUGGAAAGUUUCGGCGGUGGGGGAUGGACUCGCGGCUUAUCAGCUUGUUGGUGGGGUAGUGGCUUACCAAGGCUUUGACGGGUAGCCGGCCUGAGAGGGUGACCGGCCACAGUGGGCCUGAGGUACGGCCCAGACUCCUACGGGAGGCAGCAGUGGGGAAUAUUGCACACUGGGCGGAAGCCUGAUGCAGCAACGCCGCGUGCGGGAUGACGGCCUUCGGGUUGUAAACCGCUUUCGCCUGUGACGAAGCGUGAGUGACGGUAAUGGGUAAAGAAGCACCGGCUAACUACGUG
RNAcentral lists this ribosomal RNA (468 nucleotides) under uncultured bacterium. RNAcentral's name for it is "partial 16S ribosomal RNA". It matches the Rfam family "Bacterial small subunit ribosomal RNA", at positions 28 to 507 of the family's 1533-position model. The record is from RNAcentral.